This 1260-nucleotide ribosomal RNA is filed under the name Candidatus Phytoplasma citri. RNAcentral describes it as "bacterial SSU rRNA". It matches the Rfam family "Bacterial small subunit ribosomal RNA", at positions 136 to 1395 of the family's 1533-position model. Lineage: Bacteria; Bacillati; Mycoplasmatota; Mollicutes; Acholeplasmatales; Acholeplasmataceae. The record is from RNAcentral.
GACGAGGAUAACCAUUGGAAACAGUGGCUAAGACUGGAUAGGAAGAAAUAAGGCAUCUUUUUUCUUUUAAAAGACCUAGUGAUAGGUAUACUUUAGGAGGGGCUUGCGCCAUAUUAGUUAGUUGGUAGGGUAAUGGCCUACCAAGACGAUGAUGUGUAGCUGGACUGAGAGGUUGAACAGCCACAUUGGGACUGAGACACGGCCCAAACUCCUACGGGAGGCAGCAGUAGGGAAUUUUCGGCAAUGGAGGAAACUCUGACCGAGCAACGCCGCGUGAACGACGAAGUACUUUGGUAUGUAAAGUUCUUUUAUCAAGGAAGAAAAGCAAGUGGUGAACCAUUUGUUUGCCGGUACUUGAUGAAUAAGCCCCGGCUAAUUAUGUGCCAGCAGCCGCGGUAAGACAUAAGGGGCAAGUGUUAUCCGGAAUUAUUGGGCGUAAAGGGUGCGUAGGCGGUCUAGUAAGUCAGUGGUGUAAUGGCAACGCUCAACGUUGUCCGGCUAUUGAAACUGCUAAACUUGAGUUAGAUAGAGGCGAGUGGAAUUCCAUGUGUAGCGGUAAAAUGCGUAAAUAUAUGGAGGAACACCAGAGGCGUAGGCGGCUCGCUGGGUCUUAACUGACGCUGAGGCACGAAAGCGUGGGGAGCAAACAGGAUUAGAUACCCUGGUAGUCCACGCCGUAAACGAUGAGUACUAAGUGUCGGGUUAAACCGGUACUGAAGUUAACACAUUAAGUACUCCGCCUGAGUAGUACGUACGCAAGUAUGAAACUUAAAGGAAUUGACGGGACUCCGCACAAGCGGUGGAUCAUGUUGUUUAAUUCGAAGAUACCCGAAAAACCUUACCAGGUCUUGACAUGUUUUUGCGAAACGGUAGUAAUAUCGUGGAGGUUAUCAGAAACACAGGUGGUGCAUGGUUGUCGUCAGCUCGUGUCGUGAGAUGUUAGGUUAAGUCCUAAAACGAGCGAAACCCUUAUCGUUAGUUGCCAGCACGUUAUGGUGGGGACUUUAACGAGACUGCCAGUGAUAAAUUGGAGGAAGGUGAGGAUCACGUCAAAUCAGCAUGCCCCUUAUGACCUGGGCUACAAACGUGAUACAAUGGCUGUUACAAAGGGUAGCUGAAACGCAAGUUCUUGGCCAAUCCCCAAAAACAGUCUCAGUCCGGAUUGAAGUCUGCAACUCGACUUCAUGAAGUUGGAAUCGCUAGUAAUCGCGAAUCAGCAUGUCGCGGUGAAUACGUUCUCGGGGUUUGUACACACCGCCC